GGGUUGUGAGGUUAAGCGACUAAGCGUACACGGUGGAUGCCCUGGCAGUCAGAGGCGAUGAAGGACGUGCUAAUCUGCGAAAAGCGUCGGUAAGGUGAUAUGAACCGUUAUAACCGGCGAUGUCCGAAUGGGGAAACCCAGUGCAAUUCGUUGCACUAUCGUUAACUGAAUACAUAGGUUAACGAGGCGAACCGGGGGAACUGAAACAUCUAAGUACCCCGAGGAAAAGAAAUCAACCGAGAUUCCCCCAGUAGCGGCGAGCGAACGGGGAGCAGCCCAGAGUCUGAAUCAGCUUGUGUGUUAGUGGAACGGUCUGGAAAGUCCGACGGUACAGGGUGAUAGUCCCGUACACCAAAAUGCACAGGCUGUGAACUCGAAGAGUAGGGCGGGACACGUGGUAUCCUGUCUGAAUAUGGGGGGACCAUCCUCCAAGGCUAAAUACUCCUGACUGACCGAUAGUGAACCAGUACCGUGAGGGAAAGGCGAAAAGAACCCCGGCGAGGGGAGUGAAAAAGAACCUGAAACCGUGUACGUACAAGCAGUGGGAGCACCUUCGGGUGUGACUGCGUACCUUUUGUAUAAUGGGUCAGCGACUUAUAUUCUGUAGCAAGGUUAACCGUAUAGGGGAGCCGCAGGGAAACCGAGUCUUAACUGGGCGUUAAGUUGCAGGGUAUAGACCCGAAACCCGGUGAUCUAGCCAUGGGCAGGUUGAAGGUUGGGUAACACUAACUGGAGGACCGAACCGACUAAUGUUGAAAAAUUAGCGGAUGACUUGUGGCUGGGGGUGAAAGGCCAAUCAAACCGGGAGAUAGCUGGUUCUCCCCGAAAGCUAUUUAGGUAGCGCCUCGUGAAUUCAUCUUCGGGGGUAGAGCACUGUUUCGGCUAGGGGGUCAUCCCGACUUACCAACCCGAUGCAAACUACGAAUACCGAAGAAUGUUAUCACGGGAGACACACGGCGGGUGCUAACGUCCGUCGUGAAGAGGGAAACAACCCAGACCGCCAGCUAAGGUCCCAAAGUCAUGGUUAAGUGGGAAACGAUGUGGGAAGGCACAGACAGCCAGGAUGUUGGCUUAGAAGCAGCCAUCAUUUAAAGAAAGCGUAAUAGCUCACUGGUCGAGUCGGCCUGCGCGGAAGAUGUAACGGGGCUAAACCAUGCACCGAAGCUGCGGCAGCGACGCUUAUGCGUUGUUGGGUAGGGGAGCGUUCUGUAAGCCUGCGAAGGUGUGCUGUGAGGCAUGCUGGAGGUAUCAGAAGUGCGAAUGCUGACAUAAGUAACGAUAAAGCGGGUGAAAAGCCCGCUCGCCGGAAGACCAAGGGUUCCUGUCCAACGUUAAUCGGGGCAGGGUGAGUCGACCCCUAAGGCGAGGCCGAAAGGCGUAGUCGAUGGGAAACAGGUUAAUAUUCCUGUACUUGGUGUUACUGCGAAGGGGGGACGGAGAAGGCUAUGUUAGCCGGGCGACGGUUGUCCCGGUUUAAGCAUGUAGGCUGGUUGUCCAGGCAAAUCCGGAUAAUCAAGGCUGAGGUGUGAUGACGAGGCACUACGGUGCUGAAGUAACAAAUGCCCUGCUUCCAGGAAAAGCCUCUAAGCAUCAGGUAACAUUAAAUCGUACCCCAAACCGACACAGGUGGUCAGGUAGAGAAUACCAAGGCGCUUGAGAGAACUCGGGUGAAGGAACUAGGCAAAAUGGUGCCGUAACUUCGGGAGAAGGCACGCUGGUGUGUAGGUGAAGUCCCUGCGGAUGGAGCUGAGACCAGUCGAAGAUACCAGCUGGCUGCAACUGUUUAUUAAAAACACAGCACUGUGCAAACACGAAAGUGGACGUAUACGGUGUGACGCCUGCCCGGUGCCGGAAGGUUAAUUGAUGGGGUUAUCCGUAAGGAGAAGCUCUUGAUCGAAGCCCCGGUAAACGGCGGCCGUAACUAUAACGGUCCUAAGGUAGCGAAAUUCCUUGUCGGGUAAGUUCCGACCUGCACGAAUGGCGUAAUGAUGGCCAGGCUGUCUCCACCCGAGACUCAGUGAAAUUGAACUCGCUGUGAAGAUGCAGUGUACCCGCGGCAAGACGGAAAGACCCCGUGAACCUUUACUAUAGCUUGACACUGAACAUUGAGCCUUGAUGUGUAGGAUAGGUGGGAGGCUUUGAAGCGUGGACGCCAGUCUGCGUGGAGCCAACCUUGAAAUACCACCCUUUAAUGUUUGAUGUUCUAACGUUGGCCCCUUACCGGGGUUGCGGACAGUGUCUGGUGGGUAGUUUGACUGGGGCGGUCUCCUCCCAAAGCGUAACGGAGGAGCACGAAGGUUAGCUAAUCCUGGUCGGACAUCAGGAGGUUAGUGCAAUGGCAUAAGCUAGCUUGACUGCGAGCGUGACGGCGCGAGCAGGUGCGAAAGCAGGUCAUAGUGAUCCGGUGGUUCUGAAUGGAAGGGCCAUCGCUCAACGGAUAAAAGGUACUCCGGGGAUAACAGGCUGAUACCGCCCAAGAGUUCAUAUCGACGGCGGUGUUUGGCACCUCGAUGUCGGCUCAUCACAUCCUGGGGCUGAAGUAGGUCCCAAGGGUAUGGCUGUUCGCCAUUUAAAGUGGUACGCGAGCUGGGUUUAGAACGUCGUGAGACAGUUCGGUCCCUAUCUGCCGUGGGCGCUGGAGAAUUGAGGGGGGCUGCUCCUAGUACGAGAGGACCGGAGUGGACGCAUCACUGGUGUUCGGGUUGUCAUGCCAAUGGCACUGCCCGGUAGCUAAAUGCGGAAGAGAUAAGUGCUGAAAGCAUCUAAGCACGAAACUUGCCCCGAGAUGAGUUCUCCCUGAGACUUUAAGUCUCCUGAAGGAACGUUAAAGACGAUGACGUUGAUAGGCCGGGUGUGUAAGCGCAGCGAUGCGUUGAGCUAACCGGUACUAAUGAACCGUGAGGCUUAACCUUACAACGCCGAAG
Molecule: ribosomal RNA, 2924 nt
Filed under: Klebsiella pneumoniae
Lineage: Bacteria; Pseudomonadati; Pseudomonadota; Gammaproteobacteria; Enterobacterales; Enterobacteriaceae
Description: 23S ribosomal RNA
Rfam family: Bacterial large subunit ribosomal RNA
Source: RNAcentral